AGUGAACGCUGGCGGCAGGCCUAAUACAUGCAAGUCGAACGGCAGCACAGCAGAGCUUGCUCUGUGGGUGGCGAGUGGGCGGACGGGUGAGGAAUACGUGGGAAUCUGCCCAGUCGUGGGGGAUAACGUAGGGAAACUUACGCUAAUACCGCAUGCGCCCUUUCGGGGAAAAGCCGGGGACCUUCGGGCCUGGCGCGAUUGGAUGAGCCCACGUCGGAUUAGCUAGUUGGCGGGGUAAAGGCCCACCAAGGCGACGAUCCGUAGCUGGUCUGAGAGGAUGAUCAGCCACACUGGAACUGAGACACGGUCCAGACUCCUACGGGAGGCAGCAGUAGGGAAUAUUGGACAAUGGGCGCAAGCCUGAUCCAGCCAUGCCGCGUGAGUGAAGAAGGCCCUCGGGUUGUAAAGCUCUUUCGUCCGGAAAGAAAGCGCCGGGUUAAUACCCUGGUGUCCUGACGGUACCGAAGAAUAAGCACCGGCUAACUUCGUAG
RNAcentral lists this ribosomal RNA (491 nucleotides) under uncultured bacterium. RNAcentral's name for it is "bacterial SSU rRNA". It matches the Rfam family "Bacterial small subunit ribosomal RNA", at positions 29 to 508 of the family's 1533-position model. The record is from RNAcentral.